GUGCUUGCUUUGGCAGCACAUACACUGAAAUUGGAAUGAUACAGAGAAGAUUAGCGUGGCCCCUGCAUAAGGAUGACACGCAAUUUCAUGAAACAUUCCAUAUUCUU
RNAcentral lists this small nuclear RNA (107 nucleotides) under Salvator merianae (Argentine black and white tegu). The record is from RNAcentral. Lineage: Eukaryota; Metazoa; Chordata; Lepidosauria; Squamata; Teiidae.